Molecule: ribosomal RNA, 1350 nt
Filed under: Lactobacillus paragasseri
Lineage: Bacteria; Bacillati; Bacillota; Bacilli; Lactobacillales; Lactobacillaceae
Description: bacterial LSU rRNA
Rfam family: Bacterial large subunit ribosomal RNA
Source: RNAcentral
GACGCGGAGUGAAAUCAAAGUAGCGAAGGUCAUGAUGUCACACUGCCAAGAAAAGCUUCUAGCCAGAGCAAUUUUACCCGUACCGCAAACCGACACAGGUAGUCGAGUGGAGAACACUCAGGUGAGCGAGAGAACUCUCGUUAAGGAACUCGGCAAAAUGACCCCGUAACUUCGGGAGAAGGGGUGCUGAUGGUAAAAGAUCAGCCGCAGUGAAUAGGCCCAAACAACUGUUUAUCAAAAACACAGGUAUCUGCAAAAUCGUAAGAUGACGUAUAGGUGCUGACACCUGCCCGGUGCUGGAAGGUUAAGAGGAGAGCUUAGCGCAAGCGAAGGUUUGAAUUGAAGCCCCAGUAAACGGCGGCCGUAACUAUAACGGUCCUAAGGUAGCGAAAUUCCUUGUCGGGUAAGUUCCGACCUGCACGAAAGGUGUAAUGAUUUGGGCACUGUCUCAACGAGAGACUCGGUGAAAUUAUAAUACCCGUGAAGAUGCGGGUUACCCGCGACAGGACGGAAAGACCCCAUGGAGCUUUACUGUAGCUUGAUAUUGAGUAUUUGUUAAACAUGUACAGGAUAGGUAGGAGCCAGAGAAAGUAGGACGCUAGUCUUACUGGAGGCAAUGUUGGGAUACUACCCUUGUUUGAUGGAUCCUCUAACUCGCAGAGCUGAGCGUUCUGGAGGACAGUGUCAGGUGGGCAGUUUGACUGGGGCGGUCGCCUCCUAAAAUGUAACGGAGGCGCCCAAAGGUUCCCUCAGAAUGGUUGGAAAUCAUUCGCAGAGUGUAAAGGUAUAAGGGAGCUUGACUGCGAGAGGUACACCUCGAGCAGGGACGAAAGUCGGGCUUAGUGAUCUGGUGGUACUGCAUGGAAAGGCCAUCACUCAACGGAUAAAAGCUACCCUGGGGAUAACAGGCUUAUCUCCCCCAAGAGUUCACAUCGACGGGGAGGUUUGGCACCUCGAUGUCGGCUCGUCGCAUCCUGGGGCUGAAGUCGGUCCCAAGGGUUGGGCUGUUCGCCCAUUAAAGCGGCACGCGAGCUGGGUUCAGAACGUCGUGAGACAGUUCGGUCCCUAUCCGUCGUGGGCGUAGGAAAUUUGAGAGGAGCUGUCCUUAGUACGAGAGGACCGGGAUGGACAUACCGCUGGUGUACCAGUUGUCUUGCCAAAGGCAUCGCUGGGUAGCUAUGUAUGGAAGGGAUAAGCGCUGAAAGCAUCUAAGUGCGAAGCCCCCCUCAAGAUGAGAUUUCCGAUGCGCAAGCAGUAAGACACCUUAAAGACGAUGAGGUAGAUAGGCUAGGAGUGGAAGCAUAGCGAUAUGUGGAGCGGACUAGUACUAAUCAGUCGAGCACUUGACCA